This 510-nucleotide ribosomal RNA is filed under the name uncultured bacterium. Its description in RNAcentral is "partial 16S ribosomal RNA". It matches the Rfam family "Bacterial small subunit ribosomal RNA", at positions 28 to 507 of the family's 1533-position model. The record is from RNAcentral.
GACGAACGCUGGCGGCGUGCUUAACACAUGCAAGUCGAACGAAGAGCGAUGGAAGCUUGCUUCUAUCAAUCUUAGUGGCGAACGGGUGAGUAACGCGUAAUCAACCUGCCCUUCAGAGGGGGACAACAGUUGGAAACGACUGCUAAUACCGCAUACGAUCUGACCUCGGCAUCGAGGAUAGAUGAAAGGUGGCCUCUACAUGUAAGCUAUCACUGAAGGAGGGGAUUGCGUCUGAUUAGCUAGUUGGAGGGGUAACGGCCCACCAAGGCGAUGAUCAGUAGCCGGUCGGAGAGGAUGGACAGCCACAUUGGGACUGAGACACGGCCCAGACUCCUACGGGAGGCAGCAGUGGGGAAUCUUCCGCAAUGGACGAAAGUCUGACGGAGCAACGCCGCGUGAGUGAUGACGGCCUUCGGGUUGUAAAGCUCUGUUAAUCGGGACGAAAGGCCUUUUUGCGAAUAGUGAGAAGGAUUGACGGUACCGGAAGAGAAAGCCACGGCUAACUACGUG